UGAAUACGAGACGCUAAGGCGUUGAAGUAGUGUAUAUCAUACUUCCAAGAAAAGCUUGCACUGUCAUAGAUAAAAAACGCCUGUACCAUAACCGACACAGGUGGGUAGGUAGAGUAUACUAAGGGGCGCGAGAUAACUCUCUCUAAGGAACUCGGCAAAAUAACUCCGUAACUUCGGGAGAAGGAGUGCCUUAUUUAUAAGGUUGCAAUAACAAGAUCCAAGCAACUGUUUAUCAAAAACACAGGUCUCCGCUAAGUCGUAAGACGAUGUAUGGGGGCUGACGCCUGCCCAGUGCCAGAAGGUUAAAGAAGUUGGUUAGCAAUAGCGAAGCUGAUAACUGAAGCCCUGGUGAACGGCGGCCGUAACUAUAACGGUCCUAAGGUAGCGAAAUUCCUUGUCGGGUAAGUUCCGACCCGCACGAAAGGCGUAAUGAUUUGGAUACUGUCUCGGAGAGGGGCUCGGUGAAAUAGACUUGUCUGUGAAGAUGCGGACUACCUGCACCAGGACAGAAAGACCCUAUGAAGCUUUACUGUAACUUGAAAUUGAAAUUGGACUUUAUUCGCGCAGUAUAGGUGGGAGGCGUUGAUUGUAAUCUUGCGGGAUUAUUGGAGCCAUCAGUGAGAUACCACCCUUGUAAUGUUAGAUUUCUAACUUUGAAUCAUUAUCUGGUCAAAGAACAGUUUCAGGCGGGCAGUUUGACUGGGGCGGUCGCCUCCUAAACGGUAACGGAGGCGUACAAAGGUUUCCUCUGAACGGUUAGAAAUCGUAUCUAGAGUGUAAAGGCAUAAGGAAGCUUGACUGUGAGACCUACAAGUCGAGCAGGGACGAAAGUCGGUCUUAGUGAUCUGACGGUACUGAGUGGAAAGGCCGUCACUCAACGGAUAAAAGUUACUCUAGGAUAACAGGCUGAUCUCCCCCAAGAGUUCACAUCGACGGGGAGGUUUGGCACCUCGAUGUCGGCUCAUCGCAUCCUGGGGCGGUAGUACGUCCCAAGGGUUGGGCUGUUCGCCCAUGAAAGCGGUACGCGAGCUGGGUUCAGAACGUCGUGAGACAGUUCGGUCCAUAUCCGGUGUAGGCGUUAGAAUAUUGAGAGGAGCCUUCUUUAGUACGAGAGGACCGAGAAGGACAUACCUCUGGUGUACCAGUUAUCGUGCCAACGGUAAACGCUGGGUAGCUAUGUAUGGAGUGGAUAACCGCUGAAAGCAUCUAAGUGGGAAGCCCACCUCAAGAUAAG
Molecule: ribosomal RNA, 1234 nt
Filed under: metagenome
Description: bacterial LSU rRNA
Rfam family: Bacterial large subunit ribosomal RNA
Source: RNAcentral